AGCUACUAAGCUUAGGUCAAAAUAUCACAAAUCCAAGUGCCCAAGUUAUCUCCAACCUAGAAUCCAAGUAGCAAUAUCCAAGACGAUCCCAAUAGUCCACCGAUACCGUAGUCAUGCUAAUCCUACUAUACCUAUAUAAAUCCGAUAUAUCUCAGGUUGAUCAUACUACACCCUAAAGUUUUCCAGCUUCAAUCUUCAAAGGAAGGAAUCUAGCACAAAUCAUAACUACGAUCCAACCAAGCCUAGUAUCGUAGUUAUCUAAGUCCGGUACAUAUGAGGAGGGUUAGCAAAAUCAUCAAAGUCUACCAUCUCCGAUCCAUUUGUAUCAUCUCCAUGCUCAUAUCCAUAUGGGGCACAUGCAAGCUAUCACACUUGCUCAGUUCUCUUACCCUCGUGCUCAGGCUCAGAAUGGUGCCGCUCUGAGCGCAAGCAUCGGCACCUUCAUGAGGCGGAUAGUGCGUUGAUGAUCGUAGCCACCUAUCUCAUCAACAUUCAUACUUCCUCUGCUCUACACGGUUCUAUUCCUCUCGUGCGUCUUUGUGGCAUUCUCGUAACUACUAAACACUUUGUUUGUUUGGUUGCUUCUGCUACGUUCUUCACGCACCAAAUUGUCUGAUCAAUAUGUUGAGUGUGUCUUUUUAGGUUAUAGUGAUGAGCACAAGGGUUGUCGGUGUUCGGAUCUGGUGAGUCGUCGGAUGCGCAUUUCUCGAGAUCAGCUGCUCCAACAAGGAACAUACCAACAAAAUUGCCAUCUAUUAUAAUUAAUCCAAACCAUCCUUCCAUGAUGAUCAUGUACUCAUAACAUUCUCACGGAGGGCCAUCAAAACUAUCAAAGUCUGCCCCUUUGUAUCAUCUCGAUGCUCGAAUCCACAUGGGGCACAUACAAGCUACUAAUCUUAGGUAAAAAAAAUCACAAAUCCAAGUGCCCAAUUUAUCUCCAACCUAGAAUCCAAGUAGUUAUAUCAUCUAACCAAACACCAUUUCUAUUACUCAAAGAUCUUUGUUUCCUUGCAAGUAAUUCAAUCCAAGAUGAUCCAAUGGUCUACCAAUUCCACAAUCAUGCUAAUUGUACUACACCUAUAUAAAUUCAAUAUAUCUCACGUUGAUCAUACUACACCCAAAAGUUCUCCAGGUUCAAUCUUCAAAGGUGGGAAUCUAGAACAAAUCAUAAUCAUGACCCAACCAAGCUUAGUAUCACGGUUUGGAAGUCCAAUAUAAAGCAAGCUUGCACUUGAUGACUAUAGAUAAAAAAAUUAGAAAAAUUAUCAUCCACGAGAUUUUUUUCAAGAUCACAAUCACCCAAGGUUUAUUAAAGAUCUAUUUAUCCAAGAAUAUAAUAUCACUUCAUAAGUCAUACUCUCCAACUACUAUUGCAUCCAACACAUAAUAAAAGCAAGAUCAGUUGCCCCAAAAAGGCACAUACCACUGAAAUUGCCAUCUAUUCUAAUUAAUCCAAAUCAUCCUCCCAUGAUGAUCUUGUACUCAUAACAUUCUUGGGGAGGGUUAGCAAAAUCAUCAAAGUGUACCAACUCCGAUCCAUUUGUAUCAUCUCCAUACUCAUAUCCAUAUCGAGCAUAUACAAGCUACCAAGCUUAGGUCAAAAUAUCACAAAUCCAAGUGCCCAAGUUAUCUCCAACCUAGAAUUCAAGUAGUAAUAUCCAAGAUGAUCCAAAAGUCCACCAAUACUGCACCCAUGCCAAUCAUACUAUACAUAUAAAAAUCGGAUAUAUCUCAGGUUGAUCAUACUACACCCUAAAGUUCUCCAGCUUCAAUCUUCAAAGGAAUCUAGCACCAAAUCAUAACUAUGAUCCAACCAAGCCUAGUAUCAUAGUUAUCUAAGUCCAAUACACAUGAGGGCUAGCAAAAUCAUCAAAGUCUACCAACACCGAUCCAUUUGUAUCAUCUCCAUGCUCAUAUCCAUAUAUGGGGCACAUACAAGCUACUAAGCUUAGGUCAAAAUAUCACAAAUCCAAGUGCCCAAGUUACCUCCAACCUAGAAUCCAAGUAGUAAUAUCCAAGAUGAUCCGAUGGGGCAUAUACAAGCUACUAAGCUUAGGUCAAAAUAUUACAAAUCCAAGUGCCCAAGUUACCUCCAACCUAGAAUCCAAGUAGUAAUGUCCAAGAUGAUCUAAUAGUCCACCAAUACCGCACUCAUGCCGACCAUACUAUACAUAUCUAAAUCCGAUAUAUCUCAGGUUGAUCAUACUACACCCGAAAGUUCUCCAGCUUCAAUCUUCAAAGGAAGUAAUCUUCCCCGCUUCCCCUGUCGUCAUACCUUCGCCACUCGGCUCUAGAUCUAAAGGCUAACAAAUGGCAGCAGCAGUAUGCUCCCGACAACAUUUUCACCCCUACCCACACCUCCCGUGUACUCUCCACUGCCUGCAUGUACGGCUAGGUAUCAUUUCCCUGGCUGCGAGUUACUCGUGUGCUGCCUUGUUCCUACAUCAUCUGCUCCCAAGCAAGUUGUCGCCAUAGCUGCAAGCUUGGGCACCGCCCCCGAACUUACCCAAGGACGCCAAGCGCCCAAGUGCACGUCGCUACCUGUCACCAAGGCUAGGGACUUCCAGCAAGGGAACGUGCGAUGCGAAACCAAGUCCGUGACACAUAACCCUCAAACAAGGUAAGGACGCCAAGUCGAAUCGGCGGGAAACGAAGAGUGCAUGAGAGGUAUGAAGAAGCGAUGCAAACGCUAUCAAGAGCGGCACGCCCUGCCAUCCUCUGCCUUUUCACUUGAACUUGCAAAGAGGAACCCUGAGCUGAGUUACUCAUCCCAAUUUUGCCCUCACAGUCAUAAGACCCCUGUCACUUCAUUUCCCUCGGCGCCAAGGAAGGGUCCUUCACCAACACAAGGUUGCCUACACUCAAUAACCUCUUGCAAGGUGGCUUCGUACCAGAAUCCCCUAAAUUAACAUUUUUUCCGUUGGCACUGCAUGUACAUGUAUUUCCAUUCGCAUGGUCAAAAUCAUAUUUCUUCUUAUACAUUGGGUUGAGUCAUGCCUAGUUUUCCCUCCACGGCCAUGAUCUUGUACAUAACAUUUUUGGGGAGAAUUAGCAAAAUCAUCGAAGUCUACCAACUCCGAUCCAUUUGUAUCAUCUCCAUGGCUCAUAUUCAUAUGGGGCACAUACAAGCUACUAAGCUUAGGUCAAAAUAUCACAAAUCCAAGUGCCCAACUUAUCUUAAACCUACAAUCCAAGUAGCAAUAUCCAAGAUGGUCCAAUAGUCCACCAAUAUCACACUCAUUUCAAUCAUACUAUACCUAUAUAAAUCCAAUAUAUCUCACGUUGAUAACUCUACACCCUAAAGUUCUCUAGCUUCAAUCUUCAAAUGAAGGAAUCCAGCACAAAUCAUAACUAUGAUCCAACCAAGCCUAGUAUCAUAGUUAUUUAAGUCCAAUACAUAUGAGGAGGGCUAGCAAAAUCAUCAAAGUCUACCAACUCCGAUCCAUUUAUCAUCUACAUGCCCAUAUCCAUAAGCUUAGGUCAAAAUAUCACAAAUCCUAGUGCCCAAGUUACCUCCAACCUAGAAUCCAAGUAGUAAUAUCCAAGAUGAUCCAAUAGUCCACCAAUACCACACUCAUGCCAAUCAUACUAUACCUAUAUAAAUCCGAUAUAUCUCAGGUUGAUCAUACUACACCCUAAAGUUCUCCAGCUUCAAUCUUCAAAGGAAGGAAUCUAGCACAAAUCAUAACUAUGAUCCAACAAAGCCUAGUAACAAACCCACAUGCAGAUACCAGAUUUGCCCACAACCAUCCACCGUCAUGACUGGCGCACAUAUGUAUGUACGGUGGCAAAUGAUGCCUUUCUCCUCCCAGUACCAUCUUCUCGCCUU
RNAcentral lists this long non-coding RNA (3829 nucleotides) under Triticum aestivum (bread wheat). Its description in RNAcentral is "long non-coding RNA (TAES_LNC009147)". The record is from RNAcentral. Lineage: Eukaryota; Viridiplantae; Streptophyta; Magnoliopsida; Poales; Poaceae.